Molecule: ribosomal RNA, 301 nt
Filed under: uncultured bacterium
Lineage: Bacteria
Description: partial 16S ribosomal RNA
Rfam family: Bacterial small subunit ribosomal RNA
Source: RNAcentral
CAGUAGCCGCGGUAAUACGAGGGGCGCAAGCGUUAUUCGGAUUGAUUGGGUGUAAAGGGUGUGCAGACGGCUUAUUAAGUCACUUGUUAAAUUCUUCGGCCUAACUGAAGGUCUGCAAGUGAUACUGAUGAGCUAGAGGGUGGAAGAGAGAAGUGGAAUUCUCGGAGUAGCGGUAAAAUGCGUAGAUCUCGAGAGGAACACCAAUGGCGAAGGCAGCUUCUUGGUCCAUUCCUGACGUUCAUACACGAAAGCGUGGGGAGCAAACGGGAUUAGAUACCCCGGUAGUCCCUGUCUCUUAUAC